CCUACGGGUGACUGCAGUGGGGAAUAUUGCACAAUGGGGGAAACCCUGAUGCAGCGACGCCGCGUGAGCGAUGAAGUAUUUCGGAAUGUAAAGCCCUAUCGUCAGGGAAGAAAAUGCGGGAACGUAACUAAUAACCCCCGGCUAACUACGUGCCAGCAGCCGCGGUAAAACGUAGGGGGCAAGCGUUCUCCGGAUUUACUGGGUGUAAAGGGAGCGUAGACGGUCCUGCAAGCCAGAUGUGAAAGCCCGGGGCUCAACCCGGGGACUGCAUUUGAAACUGUAAGGCUAGAGUGUCGGAGAGGCAGGCGGAAUUCCUAGUGUAGCGGUGAAAUGCGUAGAUAUUAGGAGGAACACCAGUGGCGAAGGCGGCCUGCUGGACGAUGACUGACGUUGAGGCUCGAAAGCGUGGGGAGCAAACAGGAUUAGAUACCCUAGUAGUC
Molecule: ribosomal RNA, 440 nt
Filed under: uncultured bacterium
Lineage: Bacteria
Description: partial 16S ribosomal RNA
Rfam family: Bacterial small subunit ribosomal RNA
Source: RNAcentral